Long non-coding RNA from Lolium perenne, 2050 nucleotides. RefSeq lists it as uncharacterized. Lineage: Eukaryota; Viridiplantae; Streptophyta; Magnoliopsida; Poales; Poaceae. The record is from RefSeq and is a predicted model, not a curated record.
GUGGUUGUUAAAGAAAUUUCUUGAAUGAUUCAUAUAGUCUGCCAUGUGAGAGGUGAUUCCCGUGGGGUAGCUAGCCAGCAUAGAAUAAUUCUAUUAGCAUGUUGUAAAAAUAGAUCAGGUGGUAAUUAGAUUUUCAACCUAAUGAUAUUUUCUUCUUUCAUUUUAAAUAUCUGAACAAAUAGUUUUCAUAUAAAACCCAUUAUUUAACAUUUUAAACUUUACUGAUUGCUAUUUUGACAAAUUGGUUUGAUAUAUAAAUUUCAUUUUUGCCUCUUUCUUCACUGUGUAUUGAUGGAGAUCAUGAAGUUUCUAACUCAUAUUUAUCUCCUGAUUUUUUCUUGCAAUAAUUCAGUGUCAAAUAUCAGAAGUUCUCCAUACAUGGUGGAAGCACAACAUGAAUCAGAUGCUAGACAACUGCAGUAUUAUAAGGAUAGGCAAAAAAUACCGACUUUUCAUUGUUUUAAUUAUCACAUAGUAGAUUUUACUGCUCCUUGUAUAAUAUAAUGUAUCAUUGUUAGAAUACCAUAUUAUUUUAUUUUGAGUUAAAGUUGUAGAUUUGCCUUUCUAAAAUACUACAAUAUACCUGCACCAUCUGAAGCUCAUGAAGGGCUCGUGGGUGUGUUCCGCUCUUUUCCCCCUUUUUCUUUAUUCCAAACCAUCUGCUUACUCUCUUCAGCCUAAGGCAAAUAAUUGUUUUUAUUUGGUAUCCAGAUGUCACUGGCAUGAUUACUAUAAUUUCUUAUAUUUGAGUUUUCACAAUCACUGGAAGGGUUAAACAUUUAGUGAGAAGAGAUGUAGUGUUCUCUGGUCCUCAUUAUUUUUUUACAUGAUUGCUAAAUGUGUUGUAGCAUUAUUUGUCGAGCUUUUUUCUUAGUGAUUUAUGUUUCUAAUUUGUCGGACUUGGCAGGUUGUUAGUCGUUUGCAAUGCUUCUGGUGGUCAUGCUAGCACCUAUUUGCUUUGUGUCUGUGUACAACCUCGAUUGUUAGAAAUUAGUUUCUUAAUUUCAAAUAGAUUCUGCAAGCUCACAUUAUGUUUUAAUAAUGAUAUACUGUCUCAUGAUAUUGACCAUUCUAGCUUUGGUAAUAACUCAUGUUGUAAUGGGUCCAUAAUAUUUUUCAAUUAUCUACUUCUCGGAACAUAUAUUAUGAAUUGACUAAAUGGGGCGAUAAUUGUUUAGUUAAGUUCUGUGUCUAUCAAAUGCAGUUAUGAUGUAUUUGCUUUAGUAGGCUUUUGGGCACUUAAAUACUGUUAGGUGAAUGUGAGGCAUUUGCUUAUUUGGUUUGCAUAUUAUAGUCUUAUCUCUGAAACACAAAAUACAUUUCUUAUUUGGUUUGCGGAUUAUAUGCUUAGCUCUCAAGCACGAAAUGAUCUUGCCAUAUAAAUUCUCUAUCUUUAUUUCCUAAAUGUAUAUAUGAUGAUAUGUUAUGUUAAAUCUUGUGCCAUGUCAAUGUUGUUCUUACAAGACCUACCGAUAGUCAGAUCUUGUCAUUGCCAAGGUUGCAGUAGGUGGAGCAGAAGUGGAUGGGGUCUUGCUGUUCAUCAUAGUGUCAAAUAUCAGAAGUUCUCCAUACAUGGUGGAAGCACAACUUGAAUCAGAUGUUAGACAACUACAGUAUUAUAAGGGUUGCACGCUUUCACCGAGUUCAACGGCGCGCGGGGUGCUGGGAUCCAGCGGAGGUCGCGCUGGCUGAAGGCAGCCCGACGCUAGCCAUGAUACCCCCGAUGCUAUGAGGUGACACAACCUACUAUGAUGUUGUUGCAAACUGAGCUGCAUCUGGGGUACUUGCUGCUGAACUUUGGGAGGAGAGGGUUGUCACCAUCGUAUGGAGGAGCGCCAACCGCUACUCCGUCGGAAGGAGCUGCGACACCACAGUCAGGCGUUUGUCCUCGCCUCGGCAAGGCUGUGGUGCCCCUGGUUACAAGAUCAAGUGAAAGCUUGUGAAAGAUCACAUGAUACUACCCUCAUCAUGGGUCUCAAUAGAUUGUCCAAUUAUUGUCCAGUAUUUUCUCAAUGAAAAUAGAAGUGCCACAUUCCUAACUGACACCACU